UCAUGAUGAUGAUGAUGAUGAUGUCAUGACGAUGAUGAUCAUGUCAUGAUGAUGAUGAUGAUGUCAUCAUCAUGAUGAUGUCAUCAUGAUGAUGU
Non-coding RNA from Paramuricea clavata, 95 nucleotides. NCBI's taxonomy places the organism in Eukaryota, Metazoa, Cnidaria, Anthozoa, Malacalcyonacea, Plexauridae. The record is from the annotation of a GenBank genome assembly.